UGGAUAACCUGCCCUCGGCACCGGAAUAGCCCGGGGGAAACUCGGAUUAAUGCCGGAUAGCCCCACAGCCCGCAGGGGCGGUGGGAAAAGGUAGCUUCGGCCUCUGGCCGAGGAUGGGUCCGCGGCGGAUUAGCUAGUUGGUGGGGUAACGCCCACCAAGGCGACGAUCCGUAGCUGGUCUGAGAGGACGAACAGCCACACUGGGACUGAGACACGGCCCAGACUCCGUACGGGAGCAG
RNAcentral lists this ribosomal RNA (239 nucleotides) under uncultured bacterium. RNAcentral describes it as "partial 16S ribosomal RNA". It matches the Rfam family "Bacterial small subunit ribosomal RNA", at positions 118 to 347 of the family's 1533-position model. The record is from RNAcentral.